Long non-coding RNA from Cyprinus carpio carpio, 1029 nucleotides. Lineage: Eukaryota; Metazoa; Chordata; Actinopteri; Cypriniformes; Cyprinidae. The record is from Ensembl.
UUGCAAAAAAAUAAUUUAUCAACUCACAUAGUUAUCAUUCAUCACUGUUUGAAAAUGUAAGUUGAAAAAUAAACUCUUAAAGCAUGAAAUAAGAUAAAGAAUCAGUAAAUUCGAUUUUAAUGUGGGUAUAUUAUCAGUGAACUGAUCAUUAAACAUUUGUAAUCAUUCAAAAAAUAUUGGCCCCUUUCAUAAUGAUGUUGUUCAGAAAUGAAGGCCACAAUGCUAAUGUUAUCCACACGAUGGCGCCACAGGAUAGCAAAUACUUCAAUAUCUGUUCAAAGAUUUUAAAAUGUUUCAUUUAUGUGCAUAAAUAUAAAAUGCAUAUACAUGCAUUCUAUUUUCAUAAACUUUAAUAAAGCCCAAUAUAGUAUUUAUGCAAAACUGUUAUCUCCUAAGUACCAUUACUUUUUUCUUAUUUUAAUAAUAUUGACAACAUAUUUCUCAAGUUAUCACACAUAAAGUGAAGAAAGGAAACUAUAUAAGUUAUUUAUUUUCAUAUUGUCAAUAUAAUAGUACUCACAUAAGGACUCAUAAGCUGUUGUCAUAGCCUAGGCUUUUUAUUAGAACAGAAAACAGCAAGGGUCCACAGAAAAAUACUUCUCUAGGUUUUUUAUUUAUUUAUUUAUUUAUUUAUUUAUUUAUUUAUUUAUUUAUUUAUUUUUUGCGGCAAGGCAGCUCAAGAACGUUGGACACACAAGUAAUGUGGCUCUUUUGCCCCAAGGCCAAGCCAACAUCAAAGUUAGUUCACUAACUUUACAUUCUAGUUAUUAUUAUUCUUCUGAGACUAAAAUUAUCAACUCUAUCUCCUCCUAGAGCUUUAACUCUACAGACUCCAAACUCAGCCCAGCUCUUCAGACUGAUCUCGCCGGGUGUGCUAUAUCUUUUCUAACUGAUCAGACUAAUGGUUUUCAUAAAAAUGAAGAUUAAAAAUCAUAAAAAUCCCAUAGACUUUCAUUGACGGAAUGUUCAGAUGAGCCAAGCUCCAACUGUCAAAAUUCAAAUCUAAACAAACUGAAGCCCAUUAUACUC